Molecule: ribosomal RNA, 487 nt
Filed under: uncultured bacterium
Lineage: Bacteria
Description: bacterial SSU rRNA
Rfam family: Bacterial small subunit ribosomal RNA
Source: RNAcentral
CUCAGGACGAACGCUGGCGGCGUGCCUAACACAUGCAAGUCGAACGAGAAUCGCUUGAACAGAGGCUUCGGCCGACGGGAAGGUGAGGAAAGUGGCGAACGGGUGAGUAACGCGUGAGGAACCUGCCUCUCAGUGGGGGACAACAGUUGGAAACGACUGCUAAUACCGCAUAAUGUAACGAGACCGCAUGAUCUUGUUACCAAAGAUUUAUUGCUGAGAGAUGGACUCGCGUCUGAUUAGAUAGUUGGUGAGGUAACGGCUCACCAAGUCGACGAUCGGUAGCCGACCUGAGAGGGUGAUCGGCCACAUUGGGACUGAGACACGGCCCAGACUCCUACGGGAGGCAGCAGUGGGGAAUAUUGGGCAAUGGGCGCAAGCCUGACCCAGCAACGCCGCGUGAGGGAAGAAGGUUUUCGGAUUGUAAACCUCUGUCCUAGGUGAAGAGCAGAAGACGGUAGCCUAGGAGGAAGCUCCGGCUAACUACGUG